AAUGGCCUACCAAGCCGACGAUCCAUAGCUGGUCUGAGAGGAUGAUCAGCCAGACUGGAACUGAGACACGGUCCAGACUCCUACGGGAGGCAGCAGUGAGGAAUCUUCCACAAUGGGCGAAAGCCUGAUGGAGCAACGCCGCGUGAAGGAUGAAGGCCUUCGGGUUGUAAACUUCUUUUAUGAGUGAAGAAUAUGACGGUAACUCAUGAAUAAGCACCGGCUAACUACGUGCCAGCAGCCGCGGUCAUACGUAGGGUGCAAGCAUUAUCCGGAGUGACUGGGCGUAAAGAGUGCGUAGGCGGUUUAAUAAGUGAAUAGUGAAACCUGGUGGCUCAACCAUAAGACUAUUAUUCAAACUGUUAAACUCGAGAAUGGUAGAGGUAACUGGAAUUUCUUGUGUAGGAGUGAAAUCCGUAGAUAUAAGAAGGAACACCGAUGGCGUAGGCAGGUUACUGGGCCAUUUCUGACGCUAAGGCACGAAAGCGUGGGGAGCGAACCGGAUUAGAUACCCGGGU
This 515-nucleotide ribosomal RNA is filed under the name uncultured Candidatus Saccharibacteria bacterium. RNAcentral describes it as "bacterial SSU rRNA". It matches the Rfam family "Bacterial small subunit ribosomal RNA", at positions 259 to 791 of the family's 1533-position model. The record is from RNAcentral. Lineage: Bacteria; Candidatus Saccharimonadota.